This 250-nucleotide ribosomal RNA is filed under the name uncultured Pseudomonas sp. Its description in RNAcentral is "partial 16S ribosomal RNA". It matches the Rfam family "Bacterial small subunit ribosomal RNA", at positions 103 to 354 of the family's 1533-position model. The record is from RNAcentral. Lineage: Bacteria; Pseudomonadati; Pseudomonadota; Gammaproteobacteria; Pseudomonadales; Pseudomonadaceae.
CGGGUGAGUAAUGCCUAGGAAUCUGCCUGGUAGUGGGGGACAACGUUUCGAAAGGAACGCUAAUACCGCAUACGUCCUACGGGAGAAAGCAGGGGACCUUCGGGCCUUGCGCUAUCAGAUGAGCCUAGGUCGGAUUAGCUAGUUGGUGAGGUAAUGGCUCACCAAGGCGACGAUCCGUAACUGGUCUGAGAGGAUGAUCAGUCACACUGGAACUGAGUCACGGUCCAGACUCCUACGGGAGGCAGCAGAG